RNAcentral lists this ribosomal RNA (1163 nucleotides) under Salmonella enterica subsp. enterica serovar Paratyphi B var. L(+) tartrate +. Its description in RNAcentral is "partial 23S ribosomal RNA". It matches the Rfam family "Bacterial large subunit ribosomal RNA", at positions 1 to 1194 of the family's 2925-position model. The record is from RNAcentral. Lineage: Bacteria; Pseudomonadati; Pseudomonadota; Gammaproteobacteria; Enterobacterales; Enterobacteriaceae.
GGGUUGUGAGGUUAAGCGACUAAGCGUACACGGUGGAUGCCCUGGCAGUCAGAGGCGAUGAAGGACGUGCUAAUCUGCGAUAAGCGCCGGUAAGGUGAUAUGAACCGUUAUAACCGGCGAUUUCCGAAUGGGGAAACCCAGUGUGAUUCGUCACACUAUCAUUAACUGAAUCCAUAGGUUAAUGAGGCGAACCGGGGGAACUGAAACAUCUAAGUACCCCGAGGAAAAGAAAUCAACCGAGAUUCCCCCAGUAGCGGCGAGCGAACGGGGAGGAGCCCAGAGCCUGAAUCAGCAUGUGUGUUAGUGGAAGCGUCUGGAAAGGCGCGCGAUACAGGGUGACAGCCCCGUACACAAAAGCGCAUGUGCUGUGAGCUCGAUGAGUAGGGCGGGACACGUGGUAUCCUGUCUGAAUAUGGGGGGACCAUCCUCCAAGGCUAAAUACUCCUGACUGACCGAUAGUGAACCAGUACCGUGAGGGAAAGGCGAAAAGAACCCCGGCGAGGGGAGUGAAAAAGAACCUGAAACCGUGUACGUACAAGCAGUGGGAGCACAGGUUUACCUGUGUGACUGCGUACCUUUUGUAUAAUGGGUCAGCGACUUAUAUUCUGUAGCAAGGUUAACCGUAUAGGGGAGCCGUAGGGAAACCGAGUCUUAACCGGGCGUUAAGUUGCAGGGUAUAGACCCGAAACCCGGUGAUCUAGCCAUGGGCAGGUUGAAGGUUGGGUAACACUAACUGGAGGACCGAACCGACUAAUGUUGAAAAAUUAGCGGAUGACCUGUGGCUGGGGGUGAAAGGCCAAUCAAACCGGGAGAUAGCUGGUUCUCCCCGAAAGCUAUUUAGGUAGCGCCUCGUGAAUUCAUCUCCGGGGGUAGAGCACUGUUUCGGCUAGGGGGCCAUCCCGGCUUACCAACCCGAUGCAAACUGCGAAUACCGGAGAAUGUUAUCACGGGAGACACACGGCGGGUGCUAACGUCCGUCGUGAAGAGGGAAACAACCCAGACCGCCAGCUAAGGUCCCAAAGUCAUGGUUAAGUGGGAAACGAUGUGGGAAGGCCCAGACAGCCAGGAUGUUGGCUUAGAAGCAGCCAUCAUUUAAAGAAAGCGUAAUAGCUCACUGGUCGAGUCGGCCUGCGCGGAAGAUGUAACGGGGCUAAACCAUGCAC